This 916-nucleotide ribosomal RNA is filed under the name Flavobacterium sp. Its description in RNAcentral is "bacterial SSU rRNA". It matches the Rfam family "Bacterial small subunit ribosomal RNA", at positions 61 to 981 of the family's 1533-position model. Lineage: Bacteria; Pseudomonadati; Bacteroidota; Flavobacteriia; Flavobacteriales; Flavobacteriaceae. The record is from RNAcentral.
GUCGAGGGGUAUAGGAAGCUUGCUUUCUAGAGACCGGCGCACGGGUGCGUAACGCGUAUGCAAUCUACCUUUCACAAAGGGAUAGCCCAGAGAAAUUUGGAUUAAUACCUUAUAGUAAUACGCCUUGGCAUCAAGAUGUAUUUAAAGAUUUAUCGGUGAAAGAUGAGCAUGCGUCCCAUUAGCUAGUUGGUAUGGUAACGGCAUACCAAGGCUACGAUGGGUAGGGGUCCUGAGAGGGAGAUCCCCCACACUGGUACUGAGACACGGACCAGACUCCUACGGGAGGCAGCAGUGAGGAAUAUUGGACAAUGGGCGCAAGCCUGAUCCAGCCAUGCCGCGUGCAGGAUGACGGUCCUAUGGAUUGUAAACUGCUUUUAUACAGGAAGAAACACCUCUACGUGUAGAGACUUGACGGUACUGUAAGAAUAAGGAUCGGCUAACUCCGUGCCAGCAGCCGCGGUAAUACGGAGGAUCCAAGCGUUAUCCGGAAUCAUUGGGUUUAAAGGGUCCGUAGGCGGUCAGAUAAGUCAGUGGUGAAAGCCCAUCGCUCAACGGUGGAACGGCCAUUGAUACUGUCUGACUUGAAUUAUUAGGAAGUAACUAGAAUAUGUAGUGUAGCGGUGAAAUGCUUAGAGAUUACAUGGAAUACCAAUUGCGAAGGCAGGUUACUACUAAUAUAUUGACGCUGAUGGACGAAAGCGUGGGUAGCGAACAGGAUUAGAUACCCUGGUAGUCCACGCCGUAAACGAUGGAUACUAGCUGUUGGGCGCAAGUUCAGUGGCUAAGCGAAAGUGAUAAGUAUCCCACCUGGGGAGUACGAACGCAAGUUUGAAACUCAAAGGAAUUGACGGGGGCCCGCACAAGCGGUGGAGCAUGUGGUUUAAUUCGAUGAUACGCGAGGAACCUUACCAAGGCU